GGGGGACCUUCGGGCCUCUUGCCAUCGGAUGUGCCCAGAUGGGAUUAGCUAGUAGGUGGGGUAACGGCUCACCUAGGCGACGAUCCCUAGCUGGUCUGAGAGGAUGACCAGCCACACUGGAACUGAGACACGGUCCAGACUCCUACGGGAGGCAGCAGUGGGGAAUAUUGCACAAUGGGCGCAAGCCUGAUGCAGCCAUGCCGCGUGUAUGAAGAAGGCCUUCGGGUUGUAAAGUACUUUCAGCGGGGAGGAAGGGAGUAAAGUUAAUACCUUGGCUCAUUGACGUUACCCGCAGAAGAAGCACCGGCUAACUUAUUGCCAGCAGCCGCGGUAAUCCGGAGGGUCAAGCGUUAAUCGGAAUUACUGGGCGUAAAGCGCACGCAGCGCA
Molecule: ribosomal RNA, 388 nt
Filed under: Escherichia coli
Lineage: Bacteria; Pseudomonadati; Pseudomonadota; Gammaproteobacteria; Enterobacterales; Enterobacteriaceae
Description: bacterial SSU rRNA
Rfam family: Bacterial small subunit ribosomal RNA
Source: RNAcentral